This 337-nucleotide unclassified non-coding RNA is filed under the name soil metagenome. RNAcentral's name for it is "partial contains 5.8S ribosomal RNA, internal transcribed spacer 2, and large subunit ribosomal RNA". The stretch from base 1 to 120 matches the Rfam family "5.8S ribosomal RNA", at positions 35 to 154 of the family's 154-position model. The record is from RNAcentral.
GAUGAAGAACGUAGCGAAAUGCGAUAAGUAGUGUGAAUUGCAGAAUUCAGUGAAUCAUCGAAUCUUUGAACGCACAUUGCGCCCCUUGGUAUUCCAUGGGGCAUGCCUGUUCGAGCGUCAUUUGUACCUUCAAGCUCUGCUUGGUGUUGGGUGUUUGUCUCGCCUCUGCGUGUAGACUCGCCUCAAAACAAUUGGCAGCCGGCGUAUUGAUUUCGGAGCGCAGUACAUCUCGCGCUUUGCACUCAUAACGACGACGUCCAAAAGUACAUUUUUACACUCUUGACCUCGGAUCAGGUAGGGAUACCCGCUGAACUUAAGCACAUCAAUAAGCGGAGGA